Molecule: ribosomal RNA, 497 nt
Filed under: uncultured bacterium
Lineage: Bacteria
Description: partial 16S ribosomal RNA
Rfam family: Bacterial small subunit ribosomal RNA
Source: RNAcentral
GAUGAACGCUGGCGGCGUGCCUAAUACAUGCAAGUCGAGCGAACAGACGAGGAGCUUGCUCCUCUGACGUUAGCGGCGGACGGGUGAGUAACACGUGGAUAACCUACCUAUAAGACUGGGAUAACUUCGGGAAACCGGAGCUAAUACCGGAUAAUAUAAUGAACCGCAUGGUUCAAUAGUGAAAGACGGUUUUGCUGUCACUUAUAGAUGGAUCCGCGCCGCAUUAGCUAGUUGGUAAGGUAACGGCUUACCAAGGCAACGAUGCGUAGCCGACCUGAGAGGGUGAUCGGCCACACUGGAACUGAGACACGGUCCAGACUCCUACGGGAGGCAGCAGUAGGGAAUCUUCCGCAAUGGGCGAAAGCUUGACGGAGCAACGCCGCGUGAGUGAUGAAGGUCUUCGGAUCGUAAAACUCUGUUAUUAGGGAAGAACAAAUGUGUAAGUAACUAUGCACGUCUUGACGGUACCUAAUCAGAAAGCCACGGCUAACUACGUG